This 837-nucleotide long non-coding RNA is filed under the name Coffea arabica (coffee). RNAcentral describes it as "long non-coding RNA (CARA_LNC001799)". Lineage: Eukaryota; Viridiplantae; Streptophyta; Magnoliopsida; Gentianales; Rubiaceae. The record is from RNAcentral.
UCGAGAAGCCGAGAAAGAGCUCAACUAUUCUGCCUUCAGCUUUCCUACUUCCUCAACUUUCAUCGUCACUCUCUCUCACUCUUGGUUUCACCUUUAUCUUCAAGCCAUCAUCAGCUAGCCACUCCGCGGCUCCGCCUCCACCGCCAGCUCUGUCUUCCAGUCUUGACUCUUGAGUCUUCAGUCAAGAGUCGAGAAGCCGAAAAGAAGCUCAACUAUUCUACCUUCAGCUUUCCUACUUCCUCAACUUUCAUCUUCACUCUCUCUCACUCUUGGUUUCACCUUCAUCUUCAAGCCAUCAUCAGCUAGCCAUCAAGAUCCUUCAUCUUCAAGGACAAAUUGAAGUACGCGGGUGAUUUUACUUAGCUUUCAUCUAUGUUUCUAGUUUAUUUUUCUUAGGCAUUCCAUCAAACAGCUUCUAGCAUUUCUUUACUUCUUACAAAUUCUAGUACUUUUUGGGGUGAUAUUUUCCACUGACCAACGAUAAGCAGAAAGAUUGCUUAACCAAGAAACACCUUAGACAAAAAUGCAUACCAAACUCGAGGAAUAGCAGUUUUUGUUGUUAAAAUUCAAAAGAUGCAGCAGUAGCUUCUUGUCUCAGCAGCAAGAAAAUCUUACCUGUGUAGCACCUCUUGAUUUGUAAAGAUCAGAAGGGGUUUGUGAUGCCUUUUCCCAAGAUCUUUGUUUUUGGAAUGGUUGUAUAAGUAUUCACUGGAAUGAUGUUUUGUAUUCUCGUAUGAACUGGUAGAGUUCUUGUGAUUUAUGGUAUUGGAAUUGUUUUGUAUUGCCUUUUGCCAGUGCACAUUUGAGGAGGGCCAGGGGACUUGAAGGCUAUAAUUG